AUGAUCACUUCAGCAGCACAUAUACUAAAAGUUGGAAUGAUACAGAGAAGAUUAACAGGGCCCCUCAGCAAGGAUGACAUGUCAAUUCAUGGAGCAUUCCAUUUUUUU
Gorilla gorilla gorilla (western lowland gorilla) is the source of this 108-nucleotide small nuclear RNA. The record is from Ensembl. NCBI's taxonomy places the organism in Eukaryota, Metazoa, Chordata, Mammalia, Primates, Hominidae.